GCCUUCGUGGUGUAGUGGUAGUGAGCACACUCGGCUCGUAUUCGAGAGGUCAGUUGGUUCGAGUCUCUGCGACGGUA
Molecule: transfer RNA, 77 nt
Filed under: Stegodyphus mimosarum
Lineage: Eukaryota; Metazoa; Arthropoda; Arachnida; Araneae; Eresidae
Rfam family: tRNA
About the family: Transfer RNA (tRNA) molecules are approximately 80 nucleotides in length. Their secondary structure includes four short double-helical elements and three loops (D, anti-codon, and T loops).
Source: Rfam by way of RNAcentral